This 489-nucleotide ribosomal RNA is filed under the name Enterobacter hormaechei. RNAcentral describes it as "bacterial SSU rRNA". It matches the Rfam family "Bacterial small subunit ribosomal RNA", at positions 30 to 506 of the family's 1533-position model. Lineage: Bacteria; Pseudomonadati; Pseudomonadota; Gammaproteobacteria; Enterobacterales; Enterobacteriaceae. The record is from RNAcentral.
AUUGAACGCUGGCGGCAGGCCUAACACAUGCAAGUCGAACGGUAACAGGAAGCAGCUUGCUGCUUUGCUGACGAGUGGCGGACGGGUGAGUAAUGUCUGGGAAACUGCCUGAUGGAGGGGGAUAACUACUGGAAACGGUAGCUAAUACCGCAUAACGUCGCAAGACCAAAGAGGGGGACCUUCGGGCCUCUUGCCAUCGGAUGUGCCCAGAUGGGAUUAGCUAGUAGGUGGGGUAACGGCUCACCUAGGCGACGAUCCCUAGCUGGUCUGAGAGGAUGACCAGCCACACUGGAACUGAGACACGGUCCAGACUCCUACGGGAGGCAGCAGUGGGGAAUAUUGCACAAUGGGCGCAAGCCUGAUGCAGCCAUGCCGCGUGUAUGAAGAAGGCCUUCGGGUUGUAAAGUACUUUCAGCGGGGAGGAAGGCGAUAAGGUUAAUAACCUUGUCGAUUGACGUUACCCCGCAGAAGAAGCACCGCUAACUCCCA